This 520-nucleotide ribosomal RNA is filed under the name uncultured bacterium. Its description in RNAcentral is "bacterial SSU rRNA". It matches the Rfam family "Bacterial small subunit ribosomal RNA", at positions 120 to 674 of the family's 1533-position model. The record is from RNAcentral.
GGGAAUCUACCUUUUGCUACGGAAUAACUCAGGGAAACUUGUGCUAAUACCGUAUGUGCCCUUUUGGGGAAAGAUUUAUCGGCAAAGGAUGAGCCCGCGUUGGAUUAGCUAGUUGGUGAGGUAAAGGCUCACCAAGGCGACGAUCCAUAGCUGGUCUGAGAGGAUGAUCAGCCACACUGGGACUGAGACACGGCCCAGACUCCUACGGGAGGCAGCAGUGGGGAAUAUUGGACAAUGGGCGCAAGCCUGAUCCAGCCAUGCCGCGUGAGUGAUGAAGGUCUUAGGAUUGUAAAGCUCUUUCACCGGUGAAGAUAAUGACGGUAACCGGAGAAGAAGCCCCGGCUAACUUCGUGCCAGCAGCCGCGGUAAUACGAAGGGGGCUAGCGUUGUUCGGAUUUACUGGGCGUAAAGCGCACGUAGGCGGACUUUUAAGUCAGGGGUGAAAUCCCGGGGCUCAACCCCGGAACUGCCUUUGAUACUGGAAGUCUUGAGUAUGGAAGAGGUGAGUGGAAUUCCGAGU